GGUGACAAAAACAUAAGUCCUCAUAUAAUCACAGGGUUAUGGCCUGUAAGUUUCUACCUGAUGACCGUUAUUCAUCGGACUAUGAGGGAAAGUGCAACGGCU
This 102-nucleotide non-coding RNA is filed under the name Fictibacillus macauensis. RNAcentral's name for it is "Guanine sequence". It matches the Rfam family "Purine riboswitch aptamer". From Rfam's summary of the family: Riboswitches are metabolite binding domains within certain messenger RNAs that serve as precision sensors for their corresponding targets. Allosteric rearrangement of mRNA structure is mediated by ligand binding, and this results in modulation of gene expression. RNAcentral also lists the same sequence under 1 other name. The record is from RNAcentral. Lineage: Bacteria; Bacillati; Bacillota; Bacilli; Caryophanales; Fictibacillaceae.